GACGAACGCUGGCGGCGUGCUUAACACAUGCAAGUCGAACGAAGAGCGAUGGAAGCUUGCUUCUAUCAAUCUUAGCGGCGAACGGGUGAGUAACGCGUAAUCAACCUGCCCUUCAGAGGGGGACAACAGUUGGAAACGACUGCUAAUACCGCAUACGAUCUAAACUCGGCAUCGAGGAUAGAUGAAAGGUGGCCUCUACAUGUAAGCUAUCACUGAAGGAGGGGAUUGCGUCUGAUUAGCUAGUUGGAGGGGUAACGGCCCACCAAGGCGAUGAUCAGUAGCCGGUCUGAGAGGAUGAACGGCCACAUUGGGACUGAGACACGGCCCAGACUCCUACGGGAGGCAGCAGUGGGGAAUCUUCCGCAAUGGACGAAAGUCUGACGGAGCAACGCCGCGUGAGUGAUGACGGCCUUCGGGUUGUAAAGCUCUGUUAAUCGGGACGAAAGGCCUUCUUGCGAAUAGUGAGAAGGAUUGACGGUACCGGAAUAGAAAGCCACGGCUAACUACGUG
This 510-nucleotide ribosomal RNA is filed under the name uncultured bacterium. RNAcentral's name for it is "partial 16S ribosomal RNA". It matches the Rfam family "Bacterial small subunit ribosomal RNA", at positions 28 to 507 of the family's 1533-position model. The record is from RNAcentral.